This is a long non-coding RNA of Oncorhynchus tshawytscha (Chinook salmon), 1505 nucleotides long. RefSeq lists it as uncharacterized. The transcript has 4 exons. Lineage: Eukaryota; Metazoa; Chordata; Actinopteri; Salmoniformes; Salmonidae. The record is from RefSeq and is a predicted model, not a curated record.
GGAUAUAUGGUGUAUUAAUUUCAAAUGUUUUUUUAUUUUUGGAUUUUAAUUUAAAAUCACUUCCUGAAUUGACUUCUUUCAAUUCUAAUUAACCCCAGCCCUUAGGGUCACUGUGGCUGUAAGGAGGAUGAGACACACAGCCCCAGUGUGUGUUUGUGUGUGUGUAUGAACCGGCUCCGCUCCUCAGUACUACAACAGGAGCCAUCAGAGAAAACAAGGUGACAGAUGAAAGGAUAAGGAAAGAAUGGGAGUGUUUCACUGCUCUGAUGCAAGCCUCACCUCAUUUAACACAUUUCGUUACACAGAGAGGCAGCUGUGGCCUACGGAGAGAGAGAGAAUAGAUGUUUCCCUCUGGCCAGGAGAACAAGUAGGGAGACAGGUUUCCCUUGUAUCAACAUUGAGGAUCCAUUGACAGGUCAAUAUGUCUCAGAGUAACAUGUUAAAGACACAUUUAAUAUUUGCGGUAAAUGUUUGAUGACCCUUGGUCGAGUGUGAUGGAGUGACUCUAACAUUCCCUGAGAGAGAGGUAAGGCCAUCCGUUCAUUCACACCAGAUAAAUGCCCAGAUUUUCCUCAUACAUUCAGUAGACUAGGGAGUGGAGCACUGGGAUGGAAUCUGGUACUGUUAUCUCAUCCAGUAGACCCAGCCUAUGGACACUACUGAGUAUCAACCAGCUCUUUUUAAAUGUUCUGUGUAAAGAACAGAAUGUAUUCUAUGAAGGAAAAUAUACUCCAUGAGAGCAUCUUGUGACCGCGCCCUUCCAAUAACCAAUAGUCUUAUAGCUAUUUCCUAUUUACCAUGUUACACUCUCAAGCAUGUCUGAACCCAGCAGGUUUAAUGGACGGGGGUUAUGAUGACAGAAGAAAACCUGCUCUUUGUGGAAAUACAAGUUGUGUCUUGACAUGUUAUCCCAAUCAAUGUUCUUAAAUCCAGGUCCUCAAUCACAGCUAAGAGCCUCCAGGUAGAAGAACCGGUUCAACGAGCCAUGAUGGGAGACAUAGUUUGCUUUUACUGAGGAAAAUACAUCAGCCCCACCCUGGAUCUAGUUCAGCCUCUGGCUCUGCAUCAGCAGGAGGGUUUGUCUGGGUUUCUCCUGCCGUGCCUCUCUCUCUCUAGGGCAGUGGUCACCAACCGGUAGAUCGCGAUCGACUGGUCGAACUACAAGCUAUUCCUAGUCGAUCACUAGAAAUUGAUCAAGUGAGAUAUCCAAACUUUUAAAACCAUUAAAACUAGAGACUCAAAGAAUGCAGCUGCUGUUUUUAUGAGAGUAACAACAUGAAUUGGUGCACGAAGCAGAAGUAAUGCCGUGCAACUUAAGUUUCGUCAUCAGCUGGAAGACUGUGUCCCCUUUUCUCAACGGAGGGCAGGAGUGAAGAGGGGUGAUGGUGACCGGCAGACUGUCCCUGGAGAGAACAUUACGAAACGGACAAACGUGAAAACUACUCAUGAGGACCUGAGCCCUAGGACCAUGCCCCAGGACUACCUGACAUGAUGACUCCUUGCUG